This is a regulatory RNA element of Desulfopila aestuarii DSM 18488, 113 nucleotides long. It matches the Rfam family "TPP riboswitch aptamer (THI element)". From Rfam's summary of the family: Vitamin B(1) in its active form thiamin pyrophosphate (TPP) is an essential coenzyme that is synthesised by coupling of pyrimidine and thiazole moieties in bacteria. The previously detected thiamin-regulatory element, thi box was extended, resulting in a new, highly conserved RNA secondary structure, the THI element, which is widely distributed in eubacteria and also occurs in some archaea. NCBI's taxonomy places the organism in Bacteria, Pseudomonadati, Thermodesulfobacteriota, Desulfobulbia, Desulfobulbales, Desulfocapsaceae. The record is from Rfam.
ACGCACUAUCGCGGGAGCUCGGAUGGACCGGGCUGAGAGGGGUUUAUCAGCUAACCCGACCGCUUAACCUGAUCCGGGUAAUGCCGGCGGAGGGAAGAGAGCAAAUUAUCAGC